Molecule: unclassified non-coding RNA, 214 nt
Filed under: Hevea brasiliensis (rubber tree)
Lineage: Eukaryota; Viridiplantae; Streptophyta; Magnoliopsida; Malpighiales; Euphorbiaceae
Source: RNAcentral
GACUGAGAAUGAAACUAAUGCCUCUGAUGGUGAGUCUGAUAUUUUUUUCAAUCUCAUGAGCGAAAAUCCACAACAGGACUCUUUCAGUAGUGAACUUUAUGAUGGAUCAACUUUCAAAGACUCGGAUGAUGUUAGAGAUGCAGCUUCUAGUAGGGCUGGAUGGAAUGAUGACCAUCAUAGUAGCAUUAAUGAAACGAGUCUCAGCUCUGCUCUU